CUGUGAUGGUACCUUCCUCACAGCUCCAGCCAGGUUGGCCAUUUUGUUCUUCCUCAAGCACGUUGCAGGUGUUCACCUUGGUAUUUUGCAGUUGCUAUUUCUUCUGCUUGCAGUUUUCUUCACCCAGAUAAUUAUGUGGUUCCAGAACUCACUUCCUUAUUCAGUUUUUAGAUAACAUUGUUUUCUCAAAAACAUGUUUGAAUAUGAGGAGCAGUGUAAGUAUGCAAGUCUGUGUUUUGUAAAUUCAGUUUUUAUCUUGAUAGCUGUUUAUGUUGACUUAGAUGAAACAUGGUUCUUUAAUUUUAUGAUAUGUUUGUUAUAGCUAUCUUAAAAGGGCUUCUUUUUUUUAAUGCAGAAAGAGGGGAAAAAGGAGCGAGCUGUGGUGGACAAGGUGUUUUUCUCAAGGCUCAUACAGAUUCUGAAAAUCAUGGUCCCUAGAACAUUUUGUAAAGAGGUAAGUCUUAUGAAAUUAUAAUCUUAAGUAUAUUGGGCUGUUCUUUAAUAAAAUACCUGAGGCUGGGUAAUUUAUAAAGAAAAGAGAUUUAAUUGGCUCCUGGUUCUGCAGGCUGUACAAGCAUGGCGCAGCAUCUCCUCCACUUCCGGGGAGGCCUCAGGAAGCUGGCAAUCACAGCUGAAGGUGAAGGGGGAAGCCAGUGUCUCACAUGGUGAGAGAAGGGAGCAAAGGGCCAAGGAGGUGCCACAUACUUUUAAACAACCAGAUACAUGAGAACUCACUCACUGUCUGGAGGACAGCACCAUGCCAUGAGGGAUCUGCCUCCAUGACCCAAACACCUCCCACCAGGCCCCACCUCCAACACUGGGGAUUACAUUUCAACAUGAGAUUUGGGUGGAGACAGAUACCCAAAUUAAAUUAUUAAGUGUUCAACUUUCAAGGUUAUGUAAGAUUAGAACAGUAAAAUCACAACACUUUGGUUAUACUAUAGGUCAAAUGUUUUCUCUGUCGGUCAAGAAGAUUACUAAAUUUUUGUCUUUAAAUCAUCACCUGUCAUACAAAAACCCUUGUUCAGUGCCAGUUUUUUUCUCUAUCUUCCUCAGCAUUCUCUCAUUCUGUAACUAGAAGUAUCAUUACCUUCAGCUCUUCCUCUUCCCCUUGUCACCCUUUUUGGUCACUGGGAUCUGCUAAUUUUUCCUAUACUUAACUGUUACAAAAGCAUUGCAGUUCCCAAAGAAAACGUACAUUCCUUCAUCAUGCUGGAUUUGCUCUUUCCCUCACUUUGGCAUCAUCUCCUGAUGAUUCUGCCCUUGAGAAAUUCUUUUUUAAAAAAAAGUAAUAGCACUUGUUUUUUCCUAAUUAGACAGAGGUAAUACAUGUUCCUUGAAGAAAAUUAGAAAAUGCAGCUAGAUUUAUUUUUUGGCACCUAUCAGCCUCUUACUCAUUUUGACAUAUAGUCAUCUUGUGUGCAAGCAUAUAUUUUAAUUUAAAAAUGGGAUCACACACUUUUAAGAUCUGCUCCUUCC
RNAcentral lists this long non-coding RNA (1479 nucleotides) under Pan troglodytes (chimpanzee). RNAcentral describes it as "long non-coding RNA NONPTRT000354". Lineage: Eukaryota; Metazoa; Chordata; Mammalia; Primates; Hominidae. The record is from RNAcentral.